GCCUAUAUUUUUCGCUUGGCCCAUGUCCGGUUUCGCCCACGCGGAAAAUGCUGAAAGUCGAGGCUCCUGGCCCUCUGGGAUUGAUCCACUGGAGCCGCCCCGUGCCCAUCCAAAUCUCAUGCUGGGUGAGCUCCAGGUACACCAAGGCGACGAUCCUUAGCUGGUCUGAGAGGAUGAUCAGCCACACUGGGACUGAGACACGGCCCAGACUCCUACGGGAGGCAGCAGUAGGGAAUAUUGGACAAUGGGGGCAACCCUGAUCCAGCAAUGCCGCGUGAGUGAUGAAGGCCUUAGGGUUGUAAAGCUCUUUUACCCGGGAUGAUAAUGACAGUACCGGGAGAAUAAGCCCCGGCUAACUCCGUGCCAGCAGCCGCGGUAAUACGGAGGGGGCUAGCGUUGUUCGGAAUUACUGGGCGUAAAGCGCACGUAGGCGGCGAUUUAAGUCAGAGGUGAAAGCCCGGGGCUCAACCCCGGAAUAGCCUUUGAGACUGGAUUGCUUGAACAUCGGAGAGGUGAGUGGAAUUCCGAGUGUAGAGGUGAAAUUCGUAGA
RNAcentral lists this ribosomal RNA (550 nucleotides) under alpha proteobacterium RDB-041. RNAcentral describes it as "bacterial SSU rRNA". It matches the Rfam family "Bacterial small subunit ribosomal RNA", at positions 46 to 694 of the family's 1533-position model. Lineage: Bacteria; Pseudomonadati; Pseudomonadota; Alphaproteobacteria. The record is from RNAcentral.